AUGCUGCUCUCCAGUUUGCCCUGGGUGCUCCUGGCCGUCACCUUCUCUGGAUCUGGUAUGGCCCAGAAAGUUACCCAAGACCAGCCAUACAUAACCAGUCAAAUAGGGCAAUCUGUCAUUCUGAACUGUCGGUAUGAAGUAAGUUGGAGCGGGUACACGCACUACCUUUUUUGGUAUAAGCAGCUUCCCAGUGGAGAGAUGACUUUCCUUAUUCAUCAGGAAUCUUCUGGCCCGAAUGCAAGGAAUGGCCGCUACUCUGUAAACUUUCAGAGAGCACAGAACUCCAUCAGCCUCACCAUUUCAGCCUUACAGCCGGAAGACUCUGCAACAUACUUUUGUGCAGUCUGGGAACUCACAGUGCUUAAAACAACAGAAGAUUUGGAGAUCUGGUGGGAGGCGGAAGAGCUCUGUGUCACCAGAAGCACCUCCACUCACUGCUGUAUUGACUUGCUCUACAACAAGGUCCUUAUUCAGGAGCAAUGUUACGUGAAAUGCCAUAAAGAUGAAUAA
Non-coding RNA from Budorcas taxicolor (takin), 510 nucleotides. Lineage: Eukaryota; Metazoa; Chordata; Mammalia; Artiodactyla; Bovidae. The record is from the annotation of a RefSeq genome assembly.